UGCUUUAUUCAUUUAAAAUAGAAACUUUGCAGUUGUGAUGCUAACAGGAAUUUCUGAAAUACCUUUAGUAGUUAAAAGUAUAAUAAGACAUAUUGAAGAAAGGAUAAAAUUAGAUAAUGUAAAGCAAUGUAUUUUCAGAUGAAGAAUUGUUAACAUUACAUGGAGCUUUUGGACCAGUAUUGCAGCGUGCCUUAGAUAUUCUAGA
Zerene cesonia (dogface butterfly) is the source of this 205-nucleotide long non-coding RNA. RefSeq lists it as uncharacterized. The transcript has 2 exons. NCBI's taxonomy places the organism in Eukaryota, Metazoa, Arthropoda, Insecta, Lepidoptera, Pieridae. The record is from RefSeq and is a predicted model, not a curated record.